This is a long non-coding RNA of Oncorhynchus tshawytscha (Chinook salmon), 696 nucleotides long. NCBI's taxonomy places the organism in Eukaryota, Metazoa, Chordata, Actinopteri, Salmoniformes, Salmonidae. The record is from Ensembl.
GGUACAGAGUCAAUGUGGAGGAUAUAUACAGGGUGUUAUGGUACAGAGUCAAUGUGGAGGCUAUAUACAGGGUGUUACGGUACAGAGUCAAUGUGGAGGCUAUAUACAGGGUAUUACGGUACAGAGUCAAUGUGGAGGCUAUAUACAGGGGGUACCAGUACAGAGUCAAUGUGGAGGCUAUAUAAAGGGUAUUAUGGUACAGAGUCAAUGUGGAGGCUAUAUACAGGGGGUUACGGUACAGAGUCAAUGUGGAGGCUAUAUACAGGGGGUACCGGUACAGAGUCAAUGUGGAGACUAUAUACAGGGUAUUACGGUACAGAGUCAAUGUGGAGGCUAUAUACAGGGUGUUAUGGUACAGAGUCAAUGUGGAGACUAUAUACAGGGUAUUACGGUACAGAGUCAAUGUGGAGGCUAUAUACAGGGUGUUACAGUGCAGAGUCAAUGUGGAGGCUAUAUACAGGGGGUAUCGGUACAGAGUCAAUGUGGAGGCUAUAUAGGGGGUACCGGUACAGAGUCAAUGUGGAGGCUAUAUACAGGGGAUACCGGUACAGAGUCAAUGUGGAGGCUAUAUACAGGGGUACUGGUACAGAGUCAAUGUGGAGGCUAUAUACAGGGGUACUGGUACAGAGUCAAUGUGGAGACUAUAUACAGGGUAUUACGGUACAGAGUCAAUGUGGAGGCUAUAUACAGGGGUUA